Molecule: ribosomal RNA, 303 nt
Filed under: uncultured bacterium
Lineage: Bacteria
Description: partial 16S ribosomal RNA
Rfam family: Bacterial small subunit ribosomal RNA
Source: RNAcentral
AGCAGUCGCCGCGGUAAUACAGAGGGUGCGAGCGUUAAUCGGAUUUACUGGGCGUAAAGCGUGCGUAGGCGGCUAAUUGAGUCGGAUGUGAAAUCCCCGAGCUUAACUUGGGAAUUGCAUUCGAUACUGGUUAGCUAGAGUGUGGGAGAGGAUGGUAGAAUUCCAGGUGUAGCGGUGAAAUGCGUAGAGAUCUGGAGGAAUACCGAUGGCGAAGGCAGCCAUCUGGCCUAACACUGACGCUGAGGUACGAAAGCAUGGGGAGCAAACAGGAUUAGAUACCCCUGUAGUCCCUGUCUCUUAUAU